UGGGGAAUAUUGCGCAAUGGGGGGAACCCUGACGCAGCCAUGCCGCGUGAAUGAAGAAGGCCUUAGGGUUGUAAAGUUCUUUCGGUAUUGAGGAAGGUUGAUGUGUUAAUAGCACAUCAAAUUGACGUUAAAUACAGAAGAAGCACCGGCUAACUCCGUGCCAGCAGCCGCGGUAAUACGGAGGGUGCGAGCGUUAAUCGGAAUAACUGGGCGUAAAGGGCACGCAGGCGGUUAUUUAAGUGAGGUGUGAAAGCCCCGGGCUUAACCUGGGAAUUGCAUUUCAGACUGGGUAACUAGAGUACUUUAGGGAGGGGUAGAAUUCCACGUGUAGCGGUGAAAUGCGUAGAGAUGUGGAGGAAUACCGAAGGCGAAGGCAGCCCCUUGGGAAUGUACUGACGCUCAUGUGCGAAAGCGUGGGGAGCAAACAGGAUUAGAUACCCUGGUAGUCCACGCUGUAAACGCUGUCGAUUUGGGGGUUGGGGUUUAACUCUGGCGCCCGUAGCUAGCGUGAUAAAUCGACCGCCUGGGGAGUACGGCCGCAAGGUUA
Molecule: ribosomal RNA, 547 nt
Filed under: uncultured bacterium
Lineage: Bacteria
Description: bacterial SSU rRNA
Rfam family: Bacterial small subunit ribosomal RNA
Source: RNAcentral